RNAcentral lists this ribosomal RNA (229 nucleotides) under uncultured bacterium. RNAcentral describes it as "partial 16S ribosomal RNA". It matches the Rfam family "Bacterial small subunit ribosomal RNA", at positions 568 to 796 of the family's 1533-position model. The record is from RNAcentral.
UCCGUAGGUGGAUAAUUAAGUCAGGGGUGAAAGUCUGCAGCUCAACUGUAGAAUUGCCUUUGAUACUGGUUAUCUUGAAUUAUUGUGAAGUAGUUAGAAUAUGUAGUGUAGCGGUGAAAUGCAUAGAUAUUACAUAGAAUACCAAUUGCGAAGGCAGAUUACUAACAAUAUAUUGACACUGAUGGACGAAAGCGUGGGGAGCGAACAGGAUUAGAUACCCUGGUAGUCC